CCUGGCCCUCUUUUCCCAAGAUGAGGAUGCGCAAGAAGACGGGCAAAAAAGAGAAAAGCCAGUCCAUAAGGGAGAGCCCGUCCCCGACUCUGGCUGCUGCUGCCAGACUCUCAGCGAUGAUACACGGCAAAGGCCGAGCGUACGCCAACGCCAUGCUGGUGGACCAGGUGGAUGGACAUGAUAUUAAAUACCAAUCUCCAGAGGAGGAGGAGGAGGUGGAGGUGAGCCCUGAGCCCCGUCUCGGCAGUCCAUGCUGGGACUCCUUUUCCACGACUCCACCAGCCCUGGCGGUGGACUGCUGCCAGAACUGGCACCCGGCCUCACCCCGCGGCGGGGAGCGGGGCACCCGAGGCCCGGAGAGCCACAAGGAGCCGUCCCCGUGUACAUCUCCCCCCUCUCCCUUCGCCUCCUCCCCGUCUUUUCCUUCCUCCCCACUGGCUUCCGCCUUCCGCUUGUUCGAGGGGGCUCAGAGGCGUCCGACGCAGCCGUGCCUGUCAGUUUCUCCUGCUUUGAACCACAGAGGAUGCAGCUUGACCGAAGCGAGCCGGGGCCUGAGUCCCAGUCUCGAGUGUGACAGUGGAGAGGAAGACAUACUGGGACACUCCUAUCCGUGCGCCUCUGCAAAGAAGCUGUUUGUCCUGCGAUCCAGCUCAAGGGAGGAGAGGGACUCUUUCGAUGCCUCACCGGACUUCAACCGCACGCACUCUGACAGCUCGCACACGCUCGCCAAGAACCCGGAGGAAGCCGAGGUUCGCCUGCGCUCCUACUCCUACUCCUCGCCCAAGGCGAAGCCGUCGCGGCCACUGCUGAACCGAGACGCCACCAUCAGCGACCUGUCAGAAGAUGGUGCGUUCAGUGGCGGCGGUCGCUCUGCUCCAAGCUUUAUCUCUCUCGAAAUCCCUCUCUCCC
RNAcentral lists this long non-coding RNA (909 nucleotides) under Cyclopterus lumpus (lumpfish). RNAcentral describes it as "lncRNA (ENSCLMG00005008237.1)". The record is from RNAcentral. Lineage: Eukaryota; Metazoa; Chordata; Actinopteri; Perciformes; Cyclopteridae.